This 440-nucleotide ribosomal RNA is filed under the name uncultured bacterium. RNAcentral's name for it is "partial 16S ribosomal RNA". It matches the Rfam family "Bacterial small subunit ribosomal RNA", at positions 338 to 795 of the family's 1533-position model. The record is from RNAcentral.
CCUACGUGAGGCAGCAGUGGGGAAUAUUGCACAAUGGGGGAAACCCUGAUGCAGCGACGCCGCGUGAGUGAAGCAGUAAUUCGUUAUGUAAAGCUCUAUUCGCCGGGAAGCAAAUGCCGGUACCUGAGUCAGAAGCACCGGCUAACUACGUGCCAGCAGCCGCGGUAAGACGUAGGGGGCAAGGGUUAUCCUGAUUUACUGGGGGUAAAGGGAGCGGAGACGGCAGUGCAAGUCUGGAGUGAAAGGCGGGGGCUCAACCCCCGGACUGCUCUGGAAACUGGACGGCUGGAGUGCAGGAGAGGUAAGUGGAAUUCCUAGUGUAGCGGUGAAAUGCUUAGAUAUUAGGAAGAACACCAGUGGCGAAGGCGGCUUACUGGACUGUAACUGACGUUGAGGCUCGAAAGCGUGGGUAGCAAACAGGAUUAGAUACCCGUGUAGUC